AAGCUGUGAUGAAACACUGCGCUCAAUGUGCUCUGGCUGGGUCCACACAAUCGUCUGAUUCAAGACGAGAUCACGCGCAGCUGAGCUU
Small nucleolar RNA from Cornus florida, 88 nucleotides. RefSeq annotates it as small nucleolar RNA snoR114. Lineage: Eukaryota; Viridiplantae; Streptophyta; Magnoliopsida; Cornales; Cornaceae. The transcript has a single exon. The record is from RefSeq and is a predicted model, not a curated record.